Molecule: microRNA, 23 nt
Filed under: Gossypium raimondii (Peruvian cotton)
Lineage: Eukaryota; Viridiplantae; Streptophyta; Magnoliopsida; Malvales; Malvaceae
Description: gra-miR8738b
Source: miRBase by way of RNAcentral
GUUAACUUUAACGGUCAACGGUU